This 885-nucleotide ribosomal RNA is filed under the name uncultured Pseudomonas sp. RNAcentral describes it as "bacterial SSU rRNA". It matches the Rfam family "Bacterial small subunit ribosomal RNA", at positions 11 to 891 of the family's 1533-position model. Lineage: Bacteria; Pseudomonadati; Pseudomonadota; Gammaproteobacteria; Pseudomonadales; Pseudomonadaceae. The record is from RNAcentral.
GUUUGAUCAUGGCUCAAAUUGAACGCUGGCGGCAGGCCUAACACAUGCAAGUCGAGCGGAUGAGAAGAGCUUGCUCUUCGAUUCAGCGGCGGACGGGUGAGUAAUACCUAGGAAUCUGCCUGGUAGUGGGGGACAACGUUUCGAAAGGAACGCUAAUACCGCAUACGUCCUACGGGAGAAAGCAGGGGACCUUCGGGCCUUGCGCUAUCAGAUGAGCCUAGGUCGGAUUAGCUAGUUGGUGAGGUAAUGGCUCACCAAGGCUACGAUCCGUAACUGGUCUGAGAGGAUGAUCAGUCACACUGGAACUGAGACACGGUCCAGACUCCUACGGGAGGCAGCAGUGGGGAAUAUUGGACAAUGGGCGAAAGCCUGAUCCAGCCAUGCCGCGUGUGUGAAGAAGGUCUUCGGAUUGUAAAGCACUUUAAGUUGGGAGGAAGGGCAGUAAGCGAAUACCUUGCUGUUUUGACGUUACCGACAGAAUAAGCACCGGCUAACUCUGUGCCAGCAGCCGCGGUAAUACAGAGGGUGCAAGCGUUAAUCGGAAUUACUGGGCGUAAAGCGCGCGUAGGUGGUUCGUUAAGUUGGAUGUGAAAUCCCCGGGCUCAACCUGGGAACUGCAUCCAAAACUGGCGAGCUAGAGUAGGGCAGAGGGUGGUGGAAUUUCCUGUGUAGCGGUGAAAUGCGUAGAUAUAGGAAGGAACACCAGUGGCGAAGGCGACCACCUGGGCUCAUACUGACACUGAGGUGCGAAAGCGUGGGGAGCAAACAGGAUUAGAUACCCUGCUAGUCCACGCCGUAAACGAUGUCAACUAGCCGUUGGAAUCCUUGAGAUUUUAGUGGCGCAGCUAACGCAUUAAGUUGACCGCCUGGGGAGUACGGCCGCAA